UGGGGAAUAUUGGACAAUGGGGGCAACCCUGAUCCAGCCAUGCCGCGUGAGUGAUGAAGGCCUUCGGGUUGUAAAGCUCUUUUGGCGGGGACGAUGAUGACGGUACCCGCAGAAUAAGCCCCGGCUAACUUCGUGCCAGCAGCCGCGGUGAGACGAAGGGGGGCUAGCGUUGUUCGGAAUUACUGGGCGUAAAGCGAGUGUAGGCGGUUGCCGUAGUCAGGUGUGAAAGCCUUGAGCUCAACUCAAGAAAUGCACUUGAUACUGGGUGACUAGAGGACCGGAGAGGAUAGUGGAAUUCCCAGUGUAGUGGUGAAAUACGUAGAGAUUGGGAAGAACACCAGUGGCGAAGGCGGCUAUCUGGACGGUUACUGACGCUAAGACUCGAAAGCGUGGGGAGCAAACAGGAUUAGAUACCCUGGUAGUCCACGCCGUAAACGAUGGGUGCUAGACGUUGGCGAGCUUGCUCGUCAGUGUCGCAGCUAACGCGUUAAGCACCCCGCCUGGGGAGUACGGCCGCAAGGGUUGAAACUUAAAGGAAUUGACGGGGGUCAUAGCUGUUU
This 560-nucleotide ribosomal RNA is filed under the name uncultured bacterium. RNAcentral's name for it is "partial 16S ribosomal RNA". It matches the Rfam family "Bacterial small subunit ribosomal RNA", at positions 355 to 935 of the family's 1533-position model. The record is from RNAcentral.